Long non-coding RNA from Oncorhynchus gorbuscha (pink salmon), 993 nucleotides. RefSeq lists it as uncharacterized. The transcript is spliced from 3 exons. The record is from RefSeq and is a predicted model, not a curated record. NCBI's taxonomy places the organism in Eukaryota, Metazoa, Chordata, Actinopteri, Salmoniformes, Salmonidae.
AAUUAUUACAAUAUAGAAAUGGUUAUUUUUGUGGCUGUGGUAGAUACCUUUGAAAAUAACGUGCGGGACUUCUUGGACGCAGUAUCCAGUUCUCCAUAGUGGCUUCACAGCGAGGCAGUCCCCAAACCCACAAUCACUUCUUUCUGUUACUCCAACAAAACCUCCUGCACUCUGACCUGUGAGAGCAACACCACUGAUGCUGAACCAGUCACCUACAGCUGGAAAGUGGGAGAGGGGGUGUGAGAGGUCGUAGGAAAAUGGCUGAUUGUCUCUAAGAGCGACAAGGGCCAAUCAACCAACAGUUACAAGUUCAUCUGCAAGAUGAAGGGCUCUACUGGAGAAGAGGAAGUCAGUGAGCCAGUUGGAGAGGUGUUUGGUCCAGAGCCUUCUGACGUCGGUGAUGGUGGGAUUGUUGUUGGUGUUGUCGUUAUCAUUGUAGCGCUUGUUGCCAUUGUCGUAACAAGUAAGAACAGCACAUCUAUAGUAACAGAUCACUGCACAUGUACAUAGUUGUGAAUCAGAGAUUGACAUAACAGCAGCUACAACAGCUAUACCCCCUGAAGGGGAUACAUGUUCUACCUGUAUUUACAUUAGUGUUCAGAUGUGCAGGUACUGUGUGCCGGUUGUUUAUUGGUGCUCUCAGAAAAGAUGGCUUCUAAUUGCAACUUAAGCAUGUAAUUGUCGGUGAAGUCUUACUCAAUAGCUGAAAGAAUAUUAAUGCAUAUUUGUAUUUUUACUCCCCAGUUUGGUUGAUGCUUCACCAAAAUGUUAGACAAUGUGAUUUAAUUUAAACGCUUUAAGCGUCUUAAUAAUGUCUUCAAUUUGUCUGUUUUUCAUUUCAGGAUAUCCCCAAGUCAGCUGGAUUGACCUUUUGAGCAAGGUUUUUGUGGAUUGUGUGGUAAGUGUUACCUUAACUAGACUGGUCCAUAUUCAACCUGCUGACAGGGUCCCCAAAGUAAUACAAACACAACAUUAUUCAUGUACUGUACUAUA